CAGUCGCCGCGGUAAUACGAAGGGUGCAAGCGUUAAUCGGAAUUACUGGGCGUAAAGCGUGCGUAGGCGGUGAGUUAAGUCUGCUGUGAAAUCCCCGGGCUCAACCUGGGAAUGGCAGUGGAUACUGGCUCGCUAGAGUGUGUCAGAGGAUGGUGGAAUUCCCGGUGUAGCGGUGAAAUGCGUAGAGAUGUGGAGGAACACCGAUGGCGAAGGCAGCCCCCUGGGCCAAUACUGACGCUCAUGCACGAAAGCGUGGGGAGCGAACAGGAUUAGAUACCCCAGUAGUCCCUGUCUCUUAUAC
RNAcentral lists this ribosomal RNA (301 nucleotides) under uncultured bacterium. RNAcentral's name for it is "partial 16S ribosomal RNA". It matches the Rfam family "Bacterial small subunit ribosomal RNA", at positions 509 to 807 of the family's 1533-position model. The record is from RNAcentral.